GACACAGAGGAGGUGACCGGAGAGAAAAGUUCACUUCUGCGUGCGCAGGUGGAUGAAGCAGGUGCUUAUAAGAAGAUAUAUGACUAUGGAGGGACUGAAUGGCCUUGGAGGAAAGAGGUGGCUGGACAUUCAACUGUUGCUGUCAUUGACACUUUUGAAGCUGAUAUCGCCAUGACUCCUGAGAAAGAUCCUCAGAGACCAUCAUUCUUCAAGAACCAGGUGGUGGCGGUAUGGAAAAUGCACAGAGUGCCUGGACACCGGUUUUGGCUGCUUGCGAGGAACAAGAUCUCCAACACCUGCAUUUAAUAUCUCAAAAGUGUGCGAAGUUUCCUCUAUUUCUCAAAUGCUCCAGAUGCAUUCUGCGUUCUUUAGAGCCUUUUGGGAAGGACACAGCCUGUGCCACCUCUGGCCAUGUAUGGAAAGUGAACCCUCAGCCAAACCAUCAUGUUGGGAAGAAGAACUGUCAGGAAUAUUUUCUGACCAGUCAGACGAAUCCUGACUGGUCUCAGGAAUGUAUUCUUCUUCACUGUCAUCUGUGGUGAAGUCCAAAGGCUCGUCUGAAUCUAACUGAAUCUGGUUGUUCAUCUUUAAAGAAGAAAAUGAUGAUGUUCAAUCGACGAAGAGCAGGGGAGGUGUCAAAAAUGCCCCUCUGCUUAUUUGAGUGAGAAUUCAUCUGACCCCCAUGAAGAUGUAAAUGAAGCCCUCUCAGACCUAGAAAAUAAACCGUGUCAACAUUUCCGGAGGAUAGAGAUAAGAGGAAAAAGGUGAAGAAAGGUACCUGUGCUUUUGACCCCAGCAAUGCAACAAGCUUUGGAUCUGCUGGUCAGCAAACGGCAGGAAUGUGGGGUUCCUCAGGAGAACAUAUACUUGUUUGCAAGACCCUCCGCUUUUACCUGCUACCGUGGGUCUGAUUGCCUUCAACAUUGAUCCUGAGGAGAAUGUGCAGAUGGACAGUGACACUGAGGUGGCGUGUGAGUCAGAUUCACAAGAGAGUCGGGUAACAUCCAGUCAGAGGGAAGAGAAAGACCCUGCAAUGCCAGAUGUGGGUCAUAGCAAUGCAGCACCAGAGCAGGGCCCUCUGACACCUCAACAAGCCUCUCACUGCCAGUCACCAAAAAGGGGAAGAGGUCGCCAACCUUUAAAGAGAAAAAAGUGGGAGACAGAGGAGAUCCGUGCUGUGGAAAAACACUUGAUGUACUUCAUCACUUCAUGCCGUGUUCCAGGGAAAAGUGAUUGUGAUAAGUACCUUCAACAGGAAAAAACUGCACUUAAGGACAGAAAUUGGUUGGGCAUAAAAUUCUAUGUCAAAAAUCGAAUCACAACUCUCAAAAACAAAGUUUAAUUGUUAUUUGAUUUCUGUUGACACCUGUUUUACAUGUGUCACAUGUUAAAUCAUAAUCUCCCUUUAUCUCAGUUUAUCUAAUCUGAUGUCAUAAUUUCUUGCCUAUAGUCUCGUAUUUCAUUUUCUAUAAUCUUUAAUCAUUUAAAUCUUAUUGUUUUCAUAUUUGCAAAAAGUGUUGGCAGUUCUGUUAAGCUAUAGAAGGAGUGUUCAACUAACAAUUGUUUUUUUUAUUGAUGAACCUGUCAAUAACGUUAAGUCUAACAUGACUUCAUUAAUUAGCGUGUUUUUUUUUGGUCCCUAAUGCUAAUGUGUAUGGAGGACCAUACAUGACUUAAGUAUAAAUAAAUAAAUAUAUAAAUAAACAAAUAAAUGCAUAAGGAAAUAAGUACAGAAAUAAAUAGAUAAAUACGGGAAUAAAUACAGAAAUUACUAAAAUGUCUUAAAUGUACUUAUUUAUAUAUUUAUUUAUUUUUACUUAAGUCAUGUAUGGUCCUCCAUAAAUGUGUUGUAUUCACAAUAUAAUAAGAAAGAUAAUCCUCUUAUUUGAAGAGAUGGUACCAGUGACUGGCAUUUUUGUUUGAUACUUUUUUGAUAUCUGACAAUUUACAGUAAAGUGUUGUUGUUGAAAUGGCCGAAGCAUCUCAUUUGUAGCAACUUCCAUUAAAUUUAAACAAGGAAAUAAAAGAUACAGGAUUGUUCUGCUAAUGAUAGAUAAUGUGAAACAUUACUAUUAUACUUGAAUAGAAUAUUUUUUGAUGGCAUGCAAUUUUUGGAUAGGUCUUUGCCUUGCAUUUAAAUUGACAACAGUUAAUGUAAUUUUUAUUCAUGAUAGUUGAUGAGACUUUUGUCCUAUAAUAUUGCUAACCGUAGUUAAACAGUGCCUUUGAAUACUAGGUUUCAUAUGGUAGCAAAUUCUAAUCAUGAAUAAAAUCACUAGAGUAGCCUUAAAGUAAUGUUGUACCACUACUUGACAGAAACUUAAUUCUGACACAAAUGCUAAGCUCCAGCUGAUGAAUGUCAUGCUGCAUAAUGGUUCCAUAGAACUCACCUUUACAGUCGAAGGUGUCAAGUGGUUACCCAAAGUAGGAGCUCCAGCUGAUGAAUGUCAUGCUGCAUAAUGGUUCCAUAGAACUCACCUUUACAGUCGAAGGUGUCAAGUGGUUACCCAAAGUAGGUUAAACCUGAGUGUGUGUUGAGUGGUACUCAGGAAGUAAGAAAAACCAGACAGUGUGUAUAUAUUGACCUCACACAUAACUAAAUACCUGACAAGUCCCCAGGAGGUGGUACCUGGUCCGGUUGUGAACUCUACUUUGUCUGAUUGAUCAUUUGAAGCCACAUUCUUUUUAAGGACCACUCCAGGAUACUGCUUGAUUUUUCUCAGCUCUGUACACCUAACAGAAAGGGUGGAUCCCACAAUGCAAUCAUUUGUAGCAACUUCCAUUAAAUUUAAACAAGGAAAUAAAAGAUACAGGAUUGUUCUGCUAAUGAUAGAUAAUGUGAAACAUUACUAUUAUACUUGAAUAGAAUAUUUUUUGAUGGCAUGCAAUUUUUGGAUAGGUCUUUGCCUUGCAUUUAAAUUGACAACAGUUAAUGUAAUUUUUAUUCAUGAUAGUUGAUGAGACUUUUGUCCUAUAAUAUUGCUAACCGUAGUUAAACAGUGCCUUUGAAUACUAGGUUUCAUAUGGUAGCAAAUUCUAAUCAUGAAUAAAAUCACUAGAGUAGCCUUAAAGUAAUGUUGUACCACUACUUGACAGAAACUUAAUUCUGACACAAAUGCUAAGCUCCAGCUGAUGAAUGUCAUGCUGCAUAAUGGUUCCAUAGAACUCACCUUUACAGUCGAAGGUGUCAAGUGGUUACCCAAAGUAGGAGCUCCAGCUGAUGAAUGUCAUGCUGCAUAAUGGUUCCAUAGAACUCACCUUUACAGUCGAAGGUGUCAAGUGUUUACCCAAAGUAGGUUAAACCUGAGUGUGUGUUGAGUGGUACUCAGGAAGUAAGAAAAACCAGACAGUGUGUAUAUAUUGACCUCACACAUAACUAAAUACCUGACAAGUCCCCAGGAGGUGGUACCUGGUCCGGUUGUGAACUCUACUUUGUCUGAUUGAUCAUUUGAAGCCACAUUCUUUUUAAGGACCACUCCAGGAUACUGCUUGAUUUUUCUCAGCUCUGUACACCUAACAGAAAGGGUGGAUCCCACAAUGCAAUCAUUUGUAGCAACUUCCAUUAAAUUUAAACAAGGAAAUAAAAGAUACAGGAUUGUUCUGCUAAUGAUAGAUAAUGUGAAACAUUACUAUUAUACUUGAAUAGAAUAUUUUUUGAUGGCAUGCAAUUUUUGGAUAGGUCUUUGCCUUGCAUUUAAAUUGACAACAGUUAAUGUAAUUUUUAUUCAUGAUAGUUGAUGAGACUUUUGUCCUAUAAUAUUGCUAACCGUAGUUAAACAGUGCCUUUGAAUACUAGGUUUCAUAUGGUAGCAAAUUCUAAUCAUGAAUAAAAUCACUAGAGUAGCCUUAAAGUAAUGUUGUACCACUACUUGACAGAAACUUAAUUCUGACACAAAUGCUAAGCUCCAGCUGAUGAAUGUCAUGCUGCAUAAUGGUUCCAUAGAACUCACCUUUACAGUCGAAGGUGUCAAGUGGUUACCCAAAGUAGGAGCUCCAGCUGAUGAAUGUCAUGCUGCAUAAUGGUUCCAUAGAACUCACCUUUACAGUCGAAGGUGUCAAGUGAUUACCCAAAGUAGGUUAAACCUGAGUGUGUGUUGAGUGGUACUCAGGAAGUAAGAAAAACCAGACAGUGUGUAUAUAUUGACCUCACACAUAACUAAAUACCUGACAAGUCCCCAGGAGGUGGUACCUGGUCCGGUUGUGAACUCUACUUUGUCUGAUUGAUCAUUUGAAGCCACAUUCUUUUUAAGGACCACUCCAGGAUACUGCUUGAUUUUUCUCAGCUCUGUACACCUAACAGAAAGGGUGGAUCCCACAAUGCAAUCAUUUGUAGCAACUUCCAUUAAAUUUAAACAAGGAAAUAAAAGAUACAGGAUUGUUCUGCUAAUGAUAGAUAAUGUGAAACAUUACUAUUAUACUUGAAUAGAAUAUUUUUUGAUGGCAUGCAAUUUUUGGAUAGGUCUUUGCCUUGCAUUUAAAUUGACAACAGUUAAUGUAAUUUUUAUUCAUGAUAGUUGAUGAGACUUUUGUCCUAUAAUAUUGCUAACCAUAGUUAAACAGUGCCUUUGAAUACUAGGUUUCAUAUGGUAGCAAAUUCUUAUCAUGAAUAAAAUCACUAGAGUAGCCUUAAAGUAAUGUUGUACCACUACUUGACAGAAACUUAAUUCUGACACAAAUGCUAAGCUCCAGCUGAUGAAUGUCAUGCUGCAUAAUGGUUCCAUAGAACUCACCUUUACAGUCGAAGGUGUCAAGUGGUUACCCAAAGUAGGAGCUCCAGCUGAUGAAUGUCAUGCUGCAUAAUGGUUCCAUAGAACUCACCUUUACAGUCGAAGGUGUCAAGUGGUUACCCAAAGUAGGUUAAACCUGAGUGUGUGUUGAGUGGUACUCAGGAAGUAAGAAAAACCAGACAGUGUGUAUAUAUUGACCUCACACAUAACUAAAUACCUGACAAGUCCCCAGGAGGUGGUACCUGGUCCGGUUGUGAACUCUACUUUGUCUGAUUGAUCAUUUGAAGCCACAUUCUUUUUAAGGACCACUCCAGGAUACUGCUUGAUUUUUCUCAGCUCUGUACACCUAACAGAAAGGGUGGAUCCCACAAUGCAUGGUCUUGUCUUGUAACCCCACAAUAUCAUAAAGACAAGUAUGUGUGUGUGUG
Limanda limanda (common dab) is the source of this 5155-nucleotide long non-coding RNA. RefSeq lists it as uncharacterized. Lineage: Eukaryota; Metazoa; Chordata; Actinopteri; Pleuronectiformes; Pleuronectidae. The record is from RefSeq and is a predicted model, not a curated record. The transcript has 7 exons.